Molecule: ribosomal RNA, 850 nt
Filed under: uncultured delta proteobacterium
Lineage: Bacteria; Deltaproteobacteria
Description: bacterial SSU rRNA
Rfam family: Bacterial small subunit ribosomal RNA
Source: RNAcentral
AGAGUUUGAUCAUGGCUCAGAACGAACGCUGGCGGCGUGCCUAACACAUGCAAGUCGUACGUGAAAUCCGCUUUCGGGCGGAGAGUAAAGUGGCGCACGGGUGAGUAACGCGUGGGUAAUCUGCCCCGAGACCUGGGAUAACCCGCCGAAAGGCGGGCUAAUACCGGAUAAUGUCCCUCCACACAAGUGGUUGGACCAAAGGUGGCCCUGCUACCGACUCGGGAUGGGCCCGCGUACCAUUAGCUUGUUGGUAGGGUAACGGCCUACCAAGGCUGCGAUGGUUAGCUGGUCUGAGAGGACGAUCAGCCACACUGGAACUGAGACACGGUCCAGACUCCUACGGGAGGCAGCAGUGGGGAAUAUUGCGCAAUGGGGGAAACCCUGACGCAGCGACGCCGCGUGAGCGAUGAAGGCCCUCGGGUCGUAAAGCUCUGUCAGGUGGGAAGAAACCUUCGGUGAUCAAUAGUCACCGGAAUUGACGGUACCACCAGAGGAAGCACCGGCUAACUCCGUGCCAGCAGCCGCGGUAACACGGAGGGUGCAAGCGUUGUUCGGAAUUACUGGGCGUAAAGGGCGUGUAGGCGGCCUGGUAAGUCUGAAGUGAAAUCCGUCGGCUCAACCGACGAACUGCUUCAGAAACUGCCAGACUUGAGUACGGGAGAGGAGAGCGGAAUUCCCCAGUGUAGAGGUGAAAUUCGUAGAUAUUGGGAAGAACACCGGUGGCGAAGGCGGCUCUCUGGACCGAUACUGACGCUGAGACGCGAAAGCGUGGAGAGCUAACAGGAUUAGAUACCCUGGUAGUCCACGCCGUAAACGGUGAGUACUACGUGUAAGGGGGUUCCGACCCCCC